GAAACUGUGGGUAAUACCGGAUAAUGUCUCCGGACCAAAGAUUUAUCGCCGGAGGAUGGGUCUGCGUCCUAUUAGCUUGUUGGUGGGGUAACGGCCUACCAAGGCUACGAUGGGUAGCGGGCGUGAGAGCGUGGCCCGUCUCACUGGGACUGAGACACUGCCCAGACACCUACGGGUGGCUGCAGUCGAGAAUCUUCCGCAAUGGGCGAAAGCCUGACGGAGCGACGCCGCGUGCGGGAUGAAGGCCUUCGGGUUGUAAACCGCUGUCAGUGGGGAGCAAAUCCGGGAAACCGGUUGAGCUAUCCGCAGAGGAAGCGCAGGCUAAGUUCGUGCCAGCAGCCGCGGUAACACGAACUGCGCGAACGUUAUUCGGAAUCAUUGGGCUUAAAGAGUUCGUAGGCGGCCUAAUAAGUCAAGUGUGAAAUCCCUCGGCUCAACCGAGGAACUGCGCCCGAUACUGUUAGGCUUGAGGGAGACAGAGGUGAGCGGAACUGAUGGUGGAGCGGUGAAAUGCGUUGAUAUCAUCAGGAACACCGGUGGCGAAAGCAACUCACUGGGUCUCUUCUGACGCUGAGGAACGAAGCUA
Molecule: ribosomal RNA, 586 nt
Filed under: uncultured bacterium
Lineage: Bacteria
Description: bacterial SSU rRNA
Rfam family: Bacterial small subunit ribosomal RNA
Source: RNAcentral